RNAcentral lists this small RNA (3181 nucleotides) under Pan troglodytes (chimpanzee). Its description in RNAcentral is "retained intron". The record is from RNAcentral. Lineage: Eukaryota; Metazoa; Chordata; Mammalia; Primates; Hominidae.
GUCUGCUGCACCUUCUGUGCUGUGCGUGGUCCAUGCACCAAGGCUGGAGGUGCAAAGGGGACAGGUCCCGGAGGCUCUGGAAGGGCAGAGAAGCCAGGCGUGGAAGGGUAGGGAGAGCCCUCGGGGCCUCUGGCCUCUCCCACAGAGACGGCAUGAAGGAAGGCCUGGGCGUGAGAACAGAUGUGGGGGACACAGAGGCGGAGGCCACGUGGCAGGAGGGGAAACAGGCUGGUGGAACAGGGUGCACGGGGCCUGGGGAGGGAUUUGGAUCUCAUUCUUUCUGGGGUGUGGGGAGUGAUCCUGGCUACUCUGGGCACCACAGAGGCAGGAGCCAGUACAGGCCAUCGCGUGAGGGCAGGCAGCCCAGUCACCGUCCUCUUGCUCCAGGCCAUCAUGUGAGAGCAGGUGGCCCAGUCACUGUCCUCCUGCUCCAGGCCCUGCAGCCGGCAGCACCUCUCCGCAGCCCACCACACGCAGCACCAGGAGGCUGUGAAUCUCCCCACUCUGUAGGAACAGCUGCCGCUUCCCGGGUCCCCAUUCCCCAACGGAACGUGUUCCAUGACAUCUGUGCAGCAUCCGCUGUGUGCCAGGCACAGUUCUAGGCCCUGGAGACAAAGCGGGAACAGCACAGACAGGAACCUCCACUCUUACAGUGAGGAGAGAAAGAGGAGUGAGGCUUGGGGAGGUUGGGCAGGACAGCUGCAGGGAGAGGGAGGGCAGAGGACGGGCGAGUCGGGGAGUACCAAGGAAGGCCUCAGCAAAGCAGCAUGGAAAUAAGACCUGAAAGCACGGAAGGGCCCUCCGGGAGGCGGGUAUGCAGGCGCAGAGGCCCUGGGGCCGAGAGCUCUGUGUGGAGACCAGCGUGAUGGGCUGGGGCAGCUGGGCCCAAAGACAGAUUCACAGACGCCUUCCAUCGCCGCUGCCGUAGUCAUGACCUGCGGCGUAGCCUCCUCCCAAGGCUGGAGCCCUUCCCCUGAGCUGGCCGUGGCCAGGAGCUCCCACCGGGGCAGGGCGCUAAGGCCCAGCACUCCGCCUGGCUGCUGUGGGGCUGCUGCCGGGGCCGGUGCUGACGCUGUCUGUGCCCCUGCCCGUCUCCCACCAGGUUCCGGGUAAAUAUACGGUCGUGGCGGACCACGAGAAGGGAGGCCCCGAUGCGCUGCUCGUGAGGAGCGGGGACGUGGUGGAGCUGGUGCAGGAGGGCGACGAGGGCCUUUGGUAAGACCCCGCGCUCACCCCCGGACUGCCCCGCACGUGGCUGCCGCUGACCCUCGCCCCUUGCAGGUACGUCAGGGACCCGACCACUGGCAAGGAGGGCUGGGUGCCGGCCAGCAGCCUGUCCGUCCAGCUCGGCCCGUCCGGCUCGGCCCAGUGCCUGAGCAGCUCAGAGUCGAGCCCGGGGUCGGCCGUGCUGAGCAACUCGUCCAGCUGCAGCGAGGGCGGCCAGGCCCCCUUCUCCGACCUGCAGGGGUAGCGCCGCGCAGUCUCGGCGCCGGAGACCCGCGCGCUGUCUGGGGCUGCCGCUGCGAGGGCUGGUGUGGCGUGGGGAGGGCGCAGUGCCCCCGGACGCCCCGAGGAAGGGGCACCUCACCGCCCCGACCCAGAGCGCCUGGCCGUGCGGGCUGCAGAGGACCCCUCCAGGGCAGAGGCAGGUUCCACGGAAGACCCCGGCCCGCUGGGGCUUCCCCGGAGACUCCAGAGCCCACAGAGGAGGGGCCGCAGGGAACAGCCCCGGGCAGGAGGCGCCGGGCAGCGGCAUCUCCUCCUGGCUCCACUGUGCUGCUUCUGCCUCUGGACGGUGCUUUCAGGGGACGCGCGGACCGUGGUGGAGCUGCUUCCGGAGAAGUGGAGGAUCCUCUGGCCAACGGCCUGAGGAGAGCGGGGCACGGGGUCUCUUUAUCUUUUACAAGUUUUAGGAUUUUUUUAAGCAGGGAUCAAUCCCGUGGCCAUUUUUUGUGGUACUUUGGCCUCAAUUCUUUACCAGGAAUCACUGUGUUUACAUGAAAUGACAAUUUGAUACUGUAUUUGAUAGAAAACUAUUUUUUUGUUACCGGGGUUUACAUAGAAGCACGUUGUUUAUACCACUAAAUGACUUUGGGGGGGCUCUCCCAUGGAAACGGAUGGCACUCCCUGAAGCUCCCUGGUCACAGGUGGAUGAAAACGUGUCCGUGGGUGACAUCAGGUGGUGUCUCCACCACCAAAAGCAGUUAGAAGCCAAGGAGAUUCCUUUAUCUACCUAGGGUUCAUUUUCAAAAGAAAAUUUAAACUAUAAUUUAAACAAUUAACGUUCUUUUCUACAAAAAAAAUGCAGGGACUUGAUUUUUUUUAAAGAGCUUCACUGAAUUAGGAUAUUUUUAUUGCUUUUAAAGAAAAUACAAAGAUGCAGUUUCUGCAGGGUGUGGCGUGGACCAGUGCUGCCGACCAUAGCUCAGAGAGCCCUGCCCCUGCCUCACUGCACUGCAGCCUCCUCGGAGGCCGCACCUCCACUCCACUCCCCACGCGCCCCCUGCCUCCCACCCAGGUCCACCUGCCACCUGGUGACCACCUUGAGUACAGAAGUGAAAGUGGGGAGAGUAUUUUAUUCAAGUCACAGCAGAACUGGAAAAAAACUCUUCUGUUUUACCAACUUCUUGUGUUUCAGAAACAUAUUCUGUUCAAAACUUUUGAAGCCCUUUCGGCGUCUAGUCUGCAGAUGUUUUUGUAUGUGUGCACCUCUGACCAUGUGUGUACAUAUGUGUCUUGCUGGAAAGGACAUAUUCGCUGUCCCCGUGCUGCUGGGAGGGCCGCCUCACAGCCUCAUGGUUCCCAGCCCCAGCACAGUGGAGGCAGGCGUGGCUGCAUUCCCCUCACGCUACCCUCCCAGCGGCUUGUAGCCGUCACUGGCCAGACCUCCAGGAUGCGGAAUCAAAUAGGAAGCAUGCAGAGACUCGGCAGUUUUUCCUCUGAUGUGUAAGUUAUUUGGAAUGCGUGCUGUGCCCUGCGAUGUCCCUGAUGUACUGUGCAGGCGCGGUGCCUCCGUCUCGUCGCACAGCUGCGCGCCCUUGUGUGACCCUCCCCAUAAAGGCACUUUACAGCUUCAUGUUUCAUCCACUGUCACUUUUUUUUAACUGCUGAUGUAAAUGGAAUUUUAAAAGCAGAGUUCUUUAUUGUAUGGAUGACGUUUGAAUAAAUAUCAGCAACUCCU